CCUACGGGAGGCAGCAGUAGGGAAUCUUCGGCAAUGGGGGGAACCCUGACCGCGCAACGCCGCGUGAAAGAAGAAGUUAUUCGUAAUGUAAAGUUCUUUUAACAGGGAAGAAAGAGAAAUUUGACGGUACCUGAAGAAUAAGCUCCGGCAAACUACGUACCAGCAGCCUCGGUAAUACGAAGUGAGCGAGCUUUAUCCGGAAUUAUUGGGGGUAAAGGGUGCGUAGAUGGCAUAGAAAGUCUUUUGUAAAAAUGCUGGGCUCAACCCAGUAGGGCAAAAGAUACUGCAAAGCUAGAGUAUGACAGAGGCAAGUGGAACUACAUGUGUAGCGGUGAAAUGCGUAAAUAUAUGUAAGAACACCAGUGGCGAAGGCGGCUUUCUGGGUCGAUACUGACAUUGAGGCACGAAAGCGUGGGGAGCAAACAGGAUUAGAUACCCUAGUAGUC
This 446-nucleotide ribosomal RNA is filed under the name uncultured bacterium. Its description in RNAcentral is "partial 16S ribosomal RNA". It matches the Rfam family "Bacterial small subunit ribosomal RNA", at positions 338 to 795 of the family's 1533-position model. The record is from RNAcentral.